This 369-nucleotide unclassified non-coding RNA is filed under the name fungal sp. RNAcentral describes it as "partial internal transcribed spacer region". The stretch from base 1 to 46 matches the Rfam family "Eukaryotic small subunit ribosomal RNA", at positions 1786 to 1831 of the family's 1831-position model. Lineage: Eukaryota; Fungi. RNAcentral also lists the same sequence under 1 other name. The record is from RNAcentral.
AAGUCGUAACAAGGUUUCCGUAGGUGAACCUGCGGAAGGAUCAUUAACACGUAUCCAACGUUAAACAACUCUGUGAACCUUCACCCCUGCUCUCCUUGUAUUUCGGUACUUGGAUUUGAUGCGGUCGAAGCAAUUAGACUUGCCUCUGUGGGGUAGUCAGUGGGUGAAAGUGCCACUGGUUACUUAAGCGGAGUACUGCACCCGGACUAACCGGGGUGGGAUCAUCGAGUGUCCUCACGGCCGAUGAACAAGUCUCUGAGCGCAAGCUCCAAUAUUAACCCCGUCUUUAAUCUUUAGGGAGCUGGUCGCUUCGGCGCCGCCCCUGUCGUGAAAGCUGAACAACUGUUAACAAUGGAUAUCUUGGUUCUC